RNAcentral lists this transfer RNA (73 nucleotides) under Alosa alosa (allis shad). RNAcentral's name for it is "tRNA-Thr". It matches the Rfam family "tRNA". Rfam says of the family: Transfer RNA (tRNA) molecules are approximately 80 nucleotides in length. Their secondary structure includes four short double-helical elements and three loops (D, anti-codon, and T loops). The record is from RNAcentral. Lineage: Eukaryota; Metazoa; Chordata; Actinopteri; Clupeiformes; Clupeidae.
GUGGCUGUGGCUUAGUUGGUUAAAGCCCUGUCUAGUAAACAGGAGAUCCUGGGUUCGAAUCCCAGCAGUGCCU